Non-coding RNA from Xylariaceae sp. AK1471, 125 nucleotides. NCBI's taxonomy places the organism in Eukaryota, Fungi, Ascomycota, Sordariomycetes, Xylariales, Xylariaceae. The record is from the annotation of a GenBank genome assembly.
GCCCCACUGGUGUAGUGGUUAGCACACCUGACAGCUUGUCUUUCCGGUGUCCCUGGGCACUUCUGUGUUGGGAAUAAAUCCGACAUGAUCAUUAGGAGUUCUUGGUUCGAUCCCAAGGCGGGGCU